Molecule: ribosomal RNA, 440 nt
Filed under: uncultured bacterium
Lineage: Bacteria
Description: bacterial SSU rRNA
Rfam family: Bacterial small subunit ribosomal RNA
Source: RNAcentral
CCUACGGGGGGCAGCAGUGGGGAAUAUUGCACAAUGGGCGCAAGCCUGAUGCAGCGACGCCGCGUGAGCGAUGAAGGCCUUCGGGUCGUAAAGCUCUGUCCUAAGGGAAGAAUAAUGACGGUACCUUAGGAAGAAGACCAGGCUAACUACGGUCCAGCAGCCGCGGUAAUACGUAGGGGGCGAGCGUUAUCCGGAAUCACGGGGAGUAAAGGGUGCGUAGGCGGCCCUGCAAGUCAGGAGUUAAAUGCCUCGUCUCAACCAGAGUCAGCUCUUGAAACUGUAGGGUUUGAGUGCAGGAGAGGAGAGCGGAAAUCCUAGUGUAGCGGUGAAAUGCGUAGAUAUUAGGAGGAACCCCAGUGGCGAAGGCGGUGAUGAGGACUGCAACUGACGCGGAGGCACGAAAGCGUGGGGAGCGAACAGGAUUAGAUACCACUGUAGUC